GGCUUCUUAGUUUAAUCGAAAAUAAUGAAUUUGUAAUUCGUAGAUACAUGAGGUAGGGGCAAAAGUUA
RNAcentral lists this transfer RNA (68 nucleotides) under Penenirmus auritus. RNAcentral describes it as "tRNA-Thr". The record is from RNAcentral. Lineage: Eukaryota; Metazoa; Arthropoda; Insecta; Psocodea; Philopteridae.